RNAcentral lists this ribosomal RNA (253 nucleotides) under uncultured bacterium. RNAcentral describes it as "partial 16S ribosomal RNA". It matches the Rfam family "Bacterial small subunit ribosomal RNA", at positions 524 to 776 of the family's 1533-position model. The record is from RNAcentral.
UACAGAGGGUGCAAGCGUUAAUCGGAAUGACUGGGCGUAAAGGGUGCGUAGGUGGUUGAUUAAGUUUCAUGUGAAAUCCCCGGGCUCAACCUGGGAACUGCAUGGGAAACUGAUUAGCUAGAGUAGAGUAGAGGUGAGUGGAAUUCCCGGUGUAGCAGUGAAAUGCGUAGAGAUCGGGAGGAACAUCAGUGGCGAAGGCGACUCACUGGACUCAUACUGACACUGAAGCACGAAAGCGUGGGGAGCAAACAGG